CCUACGGGAGGCAGCAGUGGGGAAUUUUGGACAAUGGGCGCAAGCCUGAUCCAGCAAUGCCGCGUGCAGGAUGAAGGCCUUCGGGUUGUAAACUGCUUUUGUACGGAACGAAACGGUGAGCUCUAAUACAGUUUGCUAAUGACGGUACCGUAAGAAUAAGCACCGGCUAACUACGUGCCAGCAGCCGCGGUAAUACGUAGGGUGCGAGCGUUAAUCGGAAUUACUGGGCGUAAAGCGUGCGCAGGCGGUGAUGUAAGACAGAUGUGAAAUCCCCGGGCUCAACCUGGGACCUGCAUUUGUGACUGCAUCGCUAGAGUACGGUAGAGGGGGAUGGAAUUCCGCGUGUAGCAGUGAAAUGCGUAGAUAUGCGGAGGAACACCGAUGGCGAAGGCAAUCCCCUGGACCUGUACUGACGCUCAUGCACGAAAGCGUGGGGAGCAAACAGGAUUAGAUACCCUGGUAGUCCACGCCCUAAACGAUGUCAACUGGUUGUUGGGUCUUCACUGACUCAGUAACGAAGCUAACGCGUGAAGUUGACCGCCGUGGGGAGUACGGCCGCGAAGGUUGAAACUCAAAUGAAUUGACGGCGNGAGAGNGCGACGGACGACGACGAGGGGAGGAGG
This 623-nucleotide ribosomal RNA is filed under the name uncultured bacterium. RNAcentral describes it as "bacterial SSU rRNA". It matches the Rfam family "Bacterial small subunit ribosomal RNA", at positions 338 to 959 of the family's 1533-position model. The record is from RNAcentral.